This 756-nucleotide ribosomal RNA is filed under the name Rhizopogon salebrosus. RNAcentral describes it as "eukaryotic LSU rRNA". The stretch from base 229 to 383 matches the Rfam family "5.8S ribosomal RNA". Lineage: Eukaryota; Fungi; Basidiomycota; Agaricomycetes; Boletales; Rhizopogonaceae. The record is from RNAcentral.
CAUUAACGAAUAUAAUUCGAGGGGUUGUCGCUGGCCUCGCUCGCGCGAGGCAUGUGCACGCUUCUCGUUUUUCUCUCAACUCACCUGUGCACCUAAUGUAGGAUGCCUCUCCUCCGGGAGGGGGGACCUAUGUCUUCGUAACAUCUUCGUGUAGAAAGUCUUUGAAUGUUUACUAUCAUCGAGUCGCGACUUCUAGGAGACGCGAUUCUUUGAGAUAAAAGUUAUUACAACUUUCAGCAACGGAUCUCUUGGCUCUCGCAUCGAUGAAGAACGCAGCGAAAAGCGAUAUGUAAUGUGAAUUGCAGAUCUACAGUGAAUCAUCGAAUCUUUGAACGCACCUUGCGCUCCUCGGUGUUCCGAGGAGCAUGCCUGUUUGAGUGUCAGUAAAUUCUCAACCCCUCUCGAUUAGCUUUGAGAGGGUGCUUGGAUAGUGGAGGUUGCCGGAGACUUGGAUUCGUCCGAGACUCGGGCUCUUCUGAAAUGCAUCGGCUUGCGGUCGACUUUCGACNNNNUGCGACAAGGCUUUCGGCGUGAUAAUGAUCGCCGUUCGCUGAAGCGCAUGACUGAACGUCCCGUGCCUCUAAUACGUCGACCGCUUAUUAUCUCUCCGGAGAGAACAGGGUCUUCCUUAUUGACUUUUGACCUCAAAUCAGGUAGGACUACCCGCUGAACUUAAGCAUAUCAAUAAGCGGAGGAAAAGAAACUAACAAGGAUUCCCCUAGUAACUGCGAGUGAAGAGGGAAAAGCUCAAAUUUU